RNAcentral lists this ribosomal RNA (274 nucleotides) under uncultured bacterium. RNAcentral's name for it is "partial 16S ribosomal RNA". It matches the Rfam family "Bacterial small subunit ribosomal RNA", at positions 82 to 354 of the family's 1533-position model. The record is from RNAcentral.
CCGUUGCCGGCGACCGGCGCACGGGUGAGUAACACGUAUGCAACCUGCCCGUGGCAGGGGGAUAAGCGGGGGAAACCCCGUCUAAUACCGCGUAACGCGGCCUGGGCAUCCCAAGGCCGCCAAAGGGAGCAAUCCCGGCCACGGAUGGGCAUGCGGCGCAUUAGCUAGUCGGCGGGGUAACGGCCCACCGAGGCGACGAUGCGUAGGGGUUCUGAGAGGAAGGCCCCCCACACUGGUACUGAGACACGGACCAGACUCCUACGGAAGGCAGCAG